Molecule: ribosomal RNA, 238 nt
Filed under: uncultured bacterium
Lineage: Bacteria
Description: partial 16S ribosomal RNA
Rfam family: Bacterial small subunit ribosomal RNA
Source: RNAcentral
CGGCGGACGGGUGAGUAACGCGUGGGUAACCUGCCUCAUACAGGGGGAUAACAGUUGGAAACGGCUGCUAAUACCGCAUAAGCGCACAGUACCGCAUGGUACGGCGUGAAAAACUCCGGUGGUAUGAGAUGGACCCGCGUCCGAUUAGCUAGUUGGUGGGGUAACGGCCUACCAAGGCGACGAUCAGUAGCCGACCUGAGAGGGUGACCGGCCACAUUGGGACUGAGACACGGCCCAA